GCGGUGGGAAGGCUGUGCCCAUGAUCCUCGCCCCAACCCUCGGAUCUGAAGUGUCGAUCCGGGAAAUGGCUUCGGACAUCUCUUCCUCCUGCGUGUCCGGCCAUGUCUCCCUCACUAUAGCACUCAUCACCUCGUCACUAGCCUCCCUCACCUUUGCCUAAUUGGAUAGGAAAAAAAUUAUUAAUUAACAUUUUGACAUAUAUAUAAGUAAAAUUAAAAAUUCCGUAAAAAGGAAAGAGUACUUACUAUAUCCUCCUGGGAGUCAGGAUAUGCCCUCUCGUACGUAUAGACGUACUGGUUGACCUCUGGAUGUUCCCUGGCCGUCUCGUCCAUGAAGACAGCGAACGAUCUAGAACCGGCAUGAUGGUUCCUUGUGUUGCGUUGCCGGUUCUGAGCGUUCACCCGGAAACCGCCUUCAAAGAAAAAAGUAAACUAUUAGUAAAAUAUUUUAAAACGCACGUACUUAAUGAUAAAUUAACUAAUUAAUUUAUUUAAAUACCUGUUUACGAGGGUUGUUGAAUUCUGAUGUCAGAAGCCAACGCCACUCGUACUCUCUGUACUGGAACUCAGCAGGGGUAGCAGAACGUGCGUUCCUGUGCGUAGUCUAAUUGGUCCGCAACUCGUUCUUCCACUCCUUCUACCUACAGAUACAACAAAAAUAUUAGAAAUAUUAUUAAUAUGACAUACAGUUUUGUUUUUUCAUUAAUUUCCCAACGUACCUUCCCCCAUGCACAAAGUCCGCCCAGCUGCUCUUCAAGGGCUCGGGAACCUCAAACCACGCCUGCAUUUAACCGUUUAUUAGUUUAGUUUUUCCAGAAAUCUACAAUGUAAUACAUAAUAUUAUUCAGGCAUUUUAUAAACUCACCGACAUCGCGUUGUGGACCAUGUCCUUAACCUCCUGCGGGACCUCGCCCCAGUCUGACCACAACAUAGGGACUCUAUCCUUAAUGAGCGCUCCCACGCGGCCGGAGUACGUCCUCGACUUCCCGCCCGAUACUACGUCGCCAUCCCCGUCAGUAUCGAUGACAAUCCUCCCUGAGGUACCGACGAUCUUCUCGAAAGCCUUCCCUGUGACGGGGCCUCUCUUCUUUUUUGCCGGCUUCGCUCCGAAAGUGCCUAUCACAUGAUAAACCAAAUUGAUUAUUAAAAUCGGAGAAUUAUAAGAAAACACAUCAUUCAUCUUUCAUUACCUGAGGGCGAGGAGGCGGACGCGACGGAUUCCGCCUCCGAUGAUGAUACCCUCGCGGAAAUAAGAGGCGUAUCAAAAGGCACGAACUGGUACGCCGCUGAUGGAGCUAUUGGCGGGGGCAGUGGAUAAAUCGGCGUCCCUGAGUCAUCGACUACAGGUAUGGCCGGUAUCAUCCACGGAAGGAAUAGGUGAGGCGGCGGCAUCUGUACCCCAGAUGACCCACUAUCCGAAGAAGUAGGAGCUGGAGUGGGCGCCCGGUGUAUCUCAGGCAUACGGGGUGCAGACACCUCCGUCUGAGGCUGAGCAAACAACUGCCUCGAGGAAUGAGGGAAGCCCCGCUGCCUCGAUGAAGGGGCACCUCCGGCUGCCUCUGCGCCGUCUGCAGAAGGCUCGCAU
RNAcentral lists this long non-coding RNA (1585 nucleotides) under Fragaria vesca (wild strawberry). Its description in RNAcentral is "long non-coding RNA (FVES_LNC004438)". Lineage: Eukaryota; Viridiplantae; Streptophyta; Magnoliopsida; Rosales; Rosaceae. The record is from RNAcentral.